UACAGAGACUGCAAGCGUUAUUCGGAUUCACUGGGCGUAAAGGGUGCGCAGGCGGCCAGGUGUGUAAGGUGUGAAAGCUUCGAGCUCAACUCGAAAAUUGCGCCUUAAACUACCUGGCUAGAGUUUUGGAGGGGUAAGCGGAAUUCUCGGUGUAGCGGUGAAAUGCGUAGAUAUCGAGAGGAACACCAAAGGCGAAGGCAGCUUACUGGACAAAAACUGACGCUCAGGCACGAAAGCGUGGGGAGCAAAAGGG
RNAcentral lists this unclassified non-coding RNA (253 nucleotides) under uncultured Opitutales bacterium. Its description in RNAcentral is "contains 16S-23S intergenic spacer region". It matches the Rfam family "Bacterial small subunit ribosomal RNA", at positions 524 to 776 of the family's 1533-position model. The record is from RNAcentral. Lineage: Bacteria; Pseudomonadati; Verrucomicrobiota; Opitutia; Opitutales.